UGGGGAAUUGUUCACAAUGGGCGCAAGCCUGAUGACGCAACGCCGCGUGGGGGAUGAAGGUCUUCGGAUCGUAAACCCCUGUCGAAUGGGACGAAAGACUCGCGAGUGAAUACUUCGCGAGAGUGACGGUACCGUUAAAGGAAGCCACGGCUAACUCUGUGCCAGCAGCCGCGGUAAUACAGAGGUGGCAAGCGUUGUUCGGAAUUACUGGGCGUAAAGGGCGCGUAGGCGGCCCUCUAAGUCAGACGUGAAAUCUCCGGGCUUAACUCGGAACGGUCAGAUGAUACUGCUUUGCUAGAGUGCAGAAGGGGCAAUCGGAAUUCUUGGUGUAGCGGUGAAAUGCGUAGAUAUCAAGAGGAACACCUGAGGUGAAGACGGGUUGCUGGGCUGACACUGACGCUGAGGCGCGAAAGCCAGGGGAGCAAACGGGAUUAGAUACCCGAGUAGUCCCUGAGCGGGCUGGCAAGGCGCAU
RNAcentral lists this ribosomal RNA (473 nucleotides) under uncultured bacterium. Its description in RNAcentral is "bacterial SSU rRNA". It matches the Rfam family "Bacterial small subunit ribosomal RNA", at positions 355 to 825 of the family's 1533-position model. The record is from RNAcentral.